AACGGGGUGGGGCCCACGAAAUGCGUCUGCUUAUUACUAUCUAAACCCUGAACCAUCCCUGUUAAACUGAGAAUUUCAAGCUGAUGGGGGUCUUUUGCCGGCGUUUCCCCCAAAAAUAAUCAAAAAACGUCGAUGGCUACAUAAGAGGCUCAUAUCCAUGUAUACCCACUGGGUUGGGCAGUGUUGGUUUGUUAGGUGGUUCUGUUGAAACUAGAUUUGUUUCUGCAGUUAACCGUUUCCUCGCCUUUCCCUCCCACUCCCAAAUUUU
RNAcentral lists this non-coding RNA (268 nucleotides) under Brassica juncea (brown mustard). The record is from RNAcentral. Lineage: Eukaryota; Viridiplantae; Streptophyta; Magnoliopsida; Brassicales; Brassicaceae.